CCUACGGGUGGCAGCAGUGAGGAAUAUUGGUCAAUGGACGAGAGUCUGAACCAGCCAAGUAGCGUGAAGGAUGCCUGCCCUAUGGGGUGUAAACUUCUUUUAUAAAGGAAUAAAACGAGGCAAGUGUGCCUUUUUGCAUGUACUUUAUGAAUAAGGAUCGGCUAACUCCGUGCCAGCCGCCUCGGUAAUACGGAGGAUCCGAGCGUUAUCCGGAUUUAUUGGGUUUAAAGGUAGCGUAGAUGGGUUGUUAAGUCAGUUGUGAAAGUUUGCGGCUCAACCGUAAAAUUGCAAUUGAUACUGGCAGUCUUGAGUACAGUUGAGGUAGGCGGAAUUCGUGGUGUAGCGGUGAAAUGCUUAGAUAUCACGAAGAACCCCGAUUGCGAAGGCAGCUUACUAAACUGUGACUGACAUUGAUGCUCGAAAGUGUGGGUAUCAAACAGGAUUAGAUACCCCUGUAGUC
Molecule: ribosomal RNA, 460 nt
Filed under: uncultured bacterium
Lineage: Bacteria
Description: partial 16S ribosomal RNA
Rfam family: Bacterial small subunit ribosomal RNA
Source: RNAcentral